UGUGCCUACGGGGCGCAGCAGUGGGGAAUAUUGCACAAUGGGGGAAACCCUGAUGCAGCAAUGCCGCGUGGGUGAAGAAGCACUCCGGUGCGUAAAGCCCUGUCAGCAGGGAAGAAAAUGACAGUACCUGACCAAGAAGCCCCGGCUAACUACGUGCCAGCAGCCGCGGUAAUACGUAGGGGGCAAGCGUUAUCCGGAUUUACUGGGUGUAAAGGGAGCGUAGACGGUGCGCCAAGUCUGGAGUGAAAUGCCGCAGCUUAACUGCGGAACUGCUUUGGAAACUGGCGAACUAGAGUGCGGGAGGG
RNAcentral lists this ribosomal RNA (305 nucleotides) under uncultured bacterium. RNAcentral describes it as "bacterial SSU rRNA". It matches the Rfam family "Bacterial small subunit ribosomal RNA", at positions 333 to 656 of the family's 1533-position model. The record is from RNAcentral.